RNAcentral lists this ribosomal RNA (1384 nucleotides) under Bacteroides fragilis. RNAcentral's name for it is "16S ribosomal RNA". It matches the Rfam family "Bacterial small subunit ribosomal RNA". The record is from RNAcentral. Lineage: Bacteria; Pseudomonadati; Bacteroidota; Bacteroidia; Bacteroidales; Bacteroidaceae.
AGUCGAGGGGCUCAGGAAGAAGCUUGCUUUCUUUGCUGGCGACCGGCGCACGGGUGAGUAACACGUAUCCAACCUGCCCUUUACUCGGGGAUAGCCUUUCGAAAGAAAGAUUAAUACCCGAUAGCAUAAUGAUUCCGCAUGGUUUCAUUAUUAAAGGAUUCCGGUAAAGGAUGGGGAUGCGUUCCAUUAGGUUGUUGGUGAGGUAACGGCUCACCAAGCCUUCGAUGGAUAGGGGUUCUGAGAGGAAGGUCCCCCACAUUGGAACUGAGACACGGUCCAAACUCCUACGGGAGGCAGCAGUGAGGAAUAUUGGUCAAUGGGCGGUAGCCUGAACCAGCCAAGUAGCGUGAAGGAUGAAGGCUCUAUGGGUCGUAAACUUCUUUUAUAUAAGAAUAAAGUGCAGUAUGUAUACUGUUUUGUAUGUAUUAUAUGAAUAAGGAUCGGCUAACUCCGUGCCAGCAGCCGCGGUAAUACGGAGGAUCCGAGCGUUAUCCGGAUUUAUUGGGUUUAAAGGGAGCGUAGGUGGACUGGUAAGUCAGUUGUGAAAGUUUGCGGCUCAACCGUAAAAUUGCAGUUGAUACUGUCAGUCUUGAGUACAGUAGAGGUGGGCGGAAUUCGUGGUGUAGCGGUGAAAUGCUUAGAUAUCACGAAGAACUCCGAUUGCGAAGGCAGCUCACUGGACUGCAACUGACACUGAUGCUCGAAAGUGUGGGUAUCAAACAGGAUUAGAUACCCUGGUAGUCCACACAGUAAACGAUGAAUACUCGCUGUUUGCGAUAUACAGUAAGCGGCCAAGCGAAAGCAUUAAGUAUUCCACCUGGGGAGUACGCCGGCAACGGUGAAACUCAAAGGAAUUGACGGGGGCCCGCACAAGCGGAGGAACAUGUGGUUUAAUUCGAUGAUACGCGAGGAACCUUACCCGGGCUUAAAUUGCAGUGGAAUGAUGUGGAAACAUGUCAGUGAGCAAUCACCGCUGUGAAGGUGCUGCAUGGUUGUCGUCAGCUCGUGCCGUGAGGUGUCGGCUUAAGUGCCAUAACGAGCGCAACCCUUAUCUUCAGUUACUAACAGGUCAUGCUGAGGACUCUGGAGAGACUGCCGUCGUAAGAUGUGAGGAAGGUGGGGAUGACGUCAAAUCAGCACGGCCCUUACGUCCGGGGCUACACACGUGUUACAAUGGGGGGUACAGAAGGCAGCUAGCGGGUGACCGUAUGCUAAUCCCAAAAUCCUCUCUCAGUUCGGAUCGAAGUCUGCAACCCGACUUCGUGAAGCUGGAUUCGCUAGUAAUCGCGCAUCAGCCACGGCGCGGUGAAUACGUUCCCGGGCCUUGUACACACCGCCCGUCAAGCCAUGGGAGCCGGGGGUACCUGAAGUACGUAACCGCAAG